Molecule: long non-coding RNA, 873 nt
Organism: Daphnia pulex (common water flea)
Lineage: Eukaryota; Metazoa; Arthropoda; Branchiopoda; Diplostraca; Daphniidae
Exons: 4
Source: RefSeq, a predicted model, not a curated record
CUUGAUUGCCACUCAGACGAUCCGGGUUAAACUCCCGAGAAAUGCAAAGAUUCUAUAUAUGGUAAAUCACUUCAAAUGUGAGCAAUAUCGGUUACUACGAAAGAAAAAUGAAGUAAAAAAGUAAAUCUUGAGUAUUAGGAAGGUGUAAGAAGCGGAAAUACUUUAUUAAUUCAUUAAAUUGAGAUGUCUUGGGCAAGAUAUCUUGGAGAGAUGACAUUUGGCUACUGUAUAGCUUGUACAAAGAUAACAUUAGUUAUCUUUACAGUAGAUGUAAAUAUAUCUAGAAGAUAUCCGCAAGAUAUCUUGUUCUACUUGGGCGUCCAGAGCCUGGACACAAAUUCGACUGUGGGAUACAGAAGGGCACCCCGGUUAAAACCUAGUCGAUAGAUGAGCUGCAUGAGUGGGUCUGUGGUUCUUAUCCCCUGGCAUCGGGCUACACAAUCCCCACAAAACUCUUGCUCCAAUAGGACCCGUACUAGGUUCGCGAGACAAGGUGGUAUUGCCGUAUAUUGAAUUUUAGGCGAUGCCCGUCCGCAGUAUCUUUUCGAAAGCCUGCGAAACAGCUGUAGCGUCGCCCUUAAAGUUGCCGCCGAUCAACUGACGAAUAGCCCCAAACAACUGUUCAAUGGGGUCACUCGAGAAUCUUCUUGAAAGAGUUUUUUCAACCGCACGGCCAGCUGCCUCGUUCGUUUGCCAACUGGAGACAUCCACCCAGUAAUCACAGGAGUUAAGCCGUCGUGUUAUUCGGGGACGAACUAGCCUCGCACUUUGACAUCCACGCGUUGCUAUCUCCGGAACGGUCUGCACACCCGUUGUCGCAAUGUUCGGGGCAUCCGCCGCAAUGGUCGAGGCAUCCGCCGCAAUGGUCGAGGC